AAACGUGUGCUAAUACCGUAUACGCCCUAAGGGGGAAAGAUUUUAUUGGAGAGAGAUGAGCCCGCGUUGGAUUAGCUAGUUGGUGGGGUAAAGGCCUACCAAGGCGACGAUCCAUAGCUGGUCUGAGAGGACGAUCAGCCACACUGGGACUGAGACACGGCCCAGACUCCUACGGGAGGCAGCAGUGGGGAAUAUUGGACAAUGGGGGCAACCCUGAUCCAGCCAUGCCGCGUGAGUGAAGAAGGCCUUAGGGUUGUAAAGCUCUUUCGCCGGAGAAGAUAAUGACGGUAUUCGGAGAAGAAGCCCCGGCUAACUUCGUGCCAGCAGCCGCGGUAAUACGAGGGGGGCGAGCGUUGUUCGGAAUAACUGGGCGUAAAGGGCGCGUAGGCGGGCGAUUAAGUUAGAGGUGAAAUCCCAGGGCUCAACCUUGGAACGGCCUUUAAUACUGAUUGUCUUGAGUUUAGGAGAGGUGAGUGGAAUUCCGAGUGGAGAGGUGAAAUUCGUAGAUAU
RNAcentral lists this ribosomal RNA (510 nucleotides) under Candidatus Liberibacter europaeus. RNAcentral's name for it is "bacterial SSU rRNA". It matches the Rfam family "Bacterial small subunit ribosomal RNA", at positions 154 to 697 of the family's 1533-position model. The record is from RNAcentral. Lineage: Bacteria; Pseudomonadati; Pseudomonadota; Alphaproteobacteria; Hyphomicrobiales; Rhizobiaceae.